AUGGACUAUUCCCCUGACGUCACGAAAGUAACCUGGAAGAAAGGUGGGGAGCUAAUCACGACUGGAUUGAAGACUUACCCAUCAGUGAAAAACAAGAAGGGAACCUACACCCUGAGCAGCCAGUUAACCCUGCCCGAGUCAGCGGUAGGUUGCCCCAGCAAAAUCUACUGUGAGGUUCAACACAGCGGGUCACACAAGAGCAAAGAAAUGCCAUGUCCAGUCUAUACCUGCCAGGUCACUCAUGGAGAGAACAUUCAAAAUAAAAACAUCACCGCACUCCAGGAAGAUACCGAGUGCCACAUCAACACCGUUAAAAUCCUCCCACCGCCAGUAGAACAAGUCUUACUGGAGGCGACGGUGACGUUAACCUGCGUUGUGUCCAAUCUUCCUUCUGGAGUCAACGUGACCUGGAAACAAGAAAAGAAGCCUCUGAAAUCAGAGAUUGCUGAGCAGCCUGGACAGAAUCCCGACAGCGUGAUCAGCAAAUUAGACAUUUCUACUGAAGCCUGGCUGAGUGGUGUUACUUUUGAAUGUGUGGUGUACCAUCAGAGUCUACCGACUCCGCUGAGAGACUCCAUCCACAAGGAGAAAGUGAUUAAUCCGCUGGAGCCAUCAGUGUCGGUCCUCCUGCCACCAACAGAAGAAAUCUCCGCUCAGAGGUUUCUCUCCCUCACCUGUUUAGUGAGAGGUUUCUCCCCCCGAGAGAUCUUCAUCAAGUGGACAAACAAUGACAAGCCGGUGAAUCCCAGUAACUACAAGAACACCGAGGUGAUAGCGGAGAGCGACAACACUUCCUUCUUCAUCUACAGCCUGUUAUCCAUUACAGCGGAGGAGUGGGCCAGCGGUGCUUCUUACUCCUGUGUGAUGGGACAUGAAGCGAUUCCAUUGAAAAUCAUCAACAGAACAGUCGAUAAAUCCAGCGGUAAACCGAGUUUUGUAAACAUUUCACUUGCACUGAUGGACACAGUUAAUUCAUGUCAAUAAAAAUCUCAAAGUUAC
Non-coding RNA from Chiloscyllium plagiosum (whitespotted bambooshark), 999 nucleotides. The record is from the annotation of a RefSeq genome assembly. NCBI's taxonomy places the organism in Eukaryota, Metazoa, Chordata, Chondrichthyes, Orectolobiformes, Hemiscylliidae.